UACGUAGGUGGCAAGCGUUGUCCGGAUUUACUGGGCGUAAAGAGCGCGCAGGCGGUCGUUCAAGUCGCGUGUGAAAGCCCCCGGCUCAACUGGGGAGGGUCACGCGAUACUGAUCGACUGGAAGGCAGGAGAGGGUAGUGGAAUUCCCGGUGUAGUGGUGAAAUGCGUAGAUAUCGGAAGGAACACCAGUGGCGAAAGCGGCUUCCUGGUCCAGCACCGACGUUCAGGCACGAAAGCGUGGGGAGCAAACAGG
This 253-nucleotide ribosomal RNA is filed under the name uncultured bacterium. Its description in RNAcentral is "partial 16S ribosomal RNA". It matches the Rfam family "Bacterial small subunit ribosomal RNA", at positions 524 to 776 of the family's 1533-position model. The record is from RNAcentral.